CCUCACUCUGGGGUCAGCCAAAAAGUGGCAUUUGCCGAUUCUCUGAACUACUCAAAAUUUCCGCUACUGGUUCUCCAGAACCUGUCAGAACCUGCUGGAUUUCACCCCGAUACUCUGUCUUAAAAUCAGGUUUGGUAGAAUCUCUAAGCUCAGAUGUCAUUAUCAGGAGAUUAAAAAUGUAGUUAUUUUAAAGAUGUUUAAAUUUUACAUUUUUAAUAUGUUAAAAUGUUUUUCCUUAAUUCAUUUUUCAGGAGGAAGGCACUACCUGCAUGUCAUCCAAGAGAACUUUAAAUAUUACUCAGAUUCAUUUAAUGGCUGCUCUUGAAAGUACAAAGCCUUCCAUUAGUCAGGAAGACUGGAAUAAGUUUGCUGAACUUUAUGAAAAUUUUCAAAAUCCAAAGAGAAAAGAAUCCAGUGGAACAAUUUUCAAACCAGGACAAAAAGUAACAUUAGCUUAACUUCUGUUAAAGAAGUAGUAAUCAUGUUUACUAACAAUUUUCUAGUAAAGUCUUUAUUUGCUAAAUUGUAUCUAUGAACAGUCUAUGUUACUGUUAAUAUUGCAAAGAACAUUUGUUUACUUGUUAAAUUUUAUCUGUCAAUAAGUCUAUGUUACUGUUAAUAUGACAAGGACAUUUAAUUAUUAAUUACUUCAUGAUUAUUUUGCAUAAUUUUAAUUUUCAAAGUAUGUUUUACUGAAAACUAUAUUAAAACCUUUUGAGAUAAUUACCUUUACUUUGUAUUCAACUUUUUUUCUUGAGGGGAUUGACAUUCUUGGCUUAGUCAUUCUCUUGCUCUUUCAGAAAUAAAAUUAAGCAAUUUAACAACUGUC
Molecule: non-coding RNA, 829 nt
Organism: Pantherophis guttatus
Lineage: Eukaryota; Metazoa; Chordata; Lepidosauria; Squamata; Colubridae
Source: RefSeq, a predicted model, not a curated record